Molecule: long non-coding RNA, 225 nt
Filed under: Lathyrus oleraceus (garden pea)
Lineage: Eukaryota; Viridiplantae; Streptophyta; Magnoliopsida; Fabales; Fabaceae
Description: Pisum sativum (pea) long non-coding RNA (PSAT_LNC005822)
Source: RNAcentral
AUGAAUGUUGUUUGAAGAUUGAAGAAAGGUAAGGGAGAUAAAGGUGUAAUGGUUCUGAGAGGGAUAGGGUCAGAGGUUGUGGGUUUUGAUGGGUUUGGUUCAGAAAGGAUUGGUAUAGAAGGUGUUGGUUUAGAUGAGGAAGAGAGUGAGGUUGUUGGUUUUUGAGAUUUUUCUUUGGGAGUUGAAGUGUGGGUGGUAGGUGGACUGGAGGAUGUUGUAACAGUG